Molecule: ribosomal RNA, 244 nt
Filed under: uncultured Staphylococcus sp.
Lineage: Bacteria; Bacillati; Bacillota; Bacilli; Caryophanales; Staphylococcaceae
Description: partial 16S ribosomal RNA
Rfam family: Bacterial small subunit ribosomal RNA
Source: RNAcentral
CGGCGGACGGGUGAGUAACACGUGGAUAACCUACCUAUAAGACUUGGAUAACUUCGGGAAACCGGAGCUAAUACCGGAUAAUAUAUUGAACCGCAUGGUUCAAUAGUGAAAGACGGUUUUGCUGUCACUUAUAGAUGGAUCCGCGCCGCAUUGGCUAGUUGGUAAGGUAACGGCUUACCAAGGCAACGAUGCGUAGCCGACCUGAGAGGGUGAUCGGCCACACUGGAACUGAGACACGGUCCAG